AGUUGGUGUUCUGGUAACCUUCCUUGUGGACAGACUCAAAGAUCAUCACUCGGUGAUACCACAUGUAUUGCGCGGACUGCUAGCAUCGAGUGGGUGUAAAAAUCUAUUGGAAGAGGACAUUGCGAGUCUGCUAAGGGGAAUAUUUAAGGAGGUUCAAGUACAAGCACACAUGCAGGCUGACAGGCGUGCCGUAUUUUCAACGAUUGCAACACUGCUGGAUCACAGGCUUACAGAUGUGUUGCCGCUGGGGGCCGAUUUUGUUUUUGGAUUCAUACAAGUCCUAGACGGGGAAAAGGAUCCUCGGAACCUGUACAUCGGCUUUCGACUCGUCUGCAUCAUCUGUGCACAUUUUC
This is a long non-coding RNA of Priapulus caudatus, 353 nucleotides long. RefSeq lists it as uncharacterized. The transcript is spliced from 3 exons. NCBI's taxonomy places the organism in Eukaryota, Metazoa, Priapulida, Priapulimorpha, Priapulimorphida, Priapulidae. The record is from RefSeq and is a predicted model, not a curated record.